This 253-nucleotide ribosomal RNA is filed under the name uncultured bacterium. RNAcentral's name for it is "partial 16S ribosomal RNA". It matches the Rfam family "Bacterial small subunit ribosomal RNA", at positions 524 to 776 of the family's 1533-position model. The record is from RNAcentral.
UACGGGGGGAGCAAGCGUUGUUCGGAUUUACUGGGCGUAAAGGGCGCGUAGGCGGCGCAACAAGUCACUUGUGAAAUCUCCGGGCUUAACCCGGAGCGGCCAAGUGAUACUGUCGUGCUAGAGUGCGGAAGGGGCAACUGGAAUUCUCGGUGUAGCGGUGAAAUGCGUAGAUAUCGAGAGGAACACCUGCGGCGAAGGCGGGUUGCUGGGCCGACACUGACGCUGAUGCGCGAAAGCCAGGGGAGCGAACGGG